UGGGGAAUAUUGGACAAUGGGCGAAAGCCUGAUCCAGCCAUGCCGCGUGUGUGAAGAAGGUCUUCGGAUUGUAAAGCACUUUAAGUUGGGAGGAAGGGCAUUAACCUAAUACGUUAGUGUUUUGACGUUACCGACAGAAUAAGCACCGGCUAACUCUGUGCCAGCAGCCGCGGUAAUACAAAGGGUGCAAGCGUUAAUCGGAAUUACUGGGCGUAAAGCGCGCGUAGGUGGUUUGUUAAGUUGGAUGUGAAAGCCCCGGGCUCAACCUGGGAACUGCAUCCAAAACUGGCAAGCUAGAGUACGGUAGAGGGUGGUGGAAUUUCCUGUGUAGCGGUGAAAUGCGUAGAUAUAGGAAGGAACACCAGUGGCGAAGGCGACCACCUGGACUGAUACUGACACUGAGGUGCGAAAGCGUGGGGAGCAAACA
RNAcentral lists this ribosomal RNA (427 nucleotides) under uncultured bacterium. RNAcentral describes it as "partial 16S ribosomal RNA". It matches the Rfam family "Bacterial small subunit ribosomal RNA", at positions 355 to 774 of the family's 1533-position model. The record is from RNAcentral.